This 124-nucleotide ribosomal RNA is filed under the name Pseudogymnoascus destructans 20631-21. The record is from RNAcentral. Lineage: Eukaryota; Fungi; Ascomycota; Leotiomycetes; Thelebolales; Thelebolaceae.
ACAUACGACCAUAGAUUCAAGAGAAUUGGGCAUCCCGUCCGCCCUGCCGUUACACAAGCUUGAAAUCUGUAUAUUAUUAGUAGUUGGGUGGGUGACCACCAGCGAAUACCUACUGUUGUAUGUU